UUGAUCCUGGCUCAGGAUGAACGCUAGCUACAGGCUUAACACAUGCAAGUCGAGGGGCAGCAUUGGAGUAGCAAUACUUCAGAUGGCGACCGGCGCACGGGUGAGUAACACGUAUCCAACCUGCCGUUUACUCGGGGAUAGCCUUUCGAAAGAAAGAUUAAUACCCGAUGGUAUAAAGAGUUCGCAUGUUCUCUUUAUUAAAGAAUUUCGGUAAGCGAUGGGGAUGCGUUCCAUUAGAUUGUUGGCGGGGUAGCGGCCCACCAAGUCUACGAUGGAUAGGGGUUCUGAGAGGAAGGUCCCCCACAUUGGAACUGAGACACGGUCCAAAUCCUACGGGAGGCAGCAGUGAGGAAUAUUGGUCAAUGGACGCGAGUCUGAACCAGCCAAGUAGCGUGAAGGAUGACUGCCCUAUGGGUUGUAAACUUCUUUUAUAAGGGAAUAAAGUGAGGGACGUGUCCCUUUUUGUAUGUACCUUAUGAAUAAGGAUCGGCUAACUCCGUGCCAGCAGCCGCGGUAAUACGGAGGAUCCAAGCGUUAUCCGGAUUUAUUGGGUUUAAAGGGAGCGUAGGUUGACAUAUAAGUCAGCUGUGAAAGUUUACGGCUCAACCGUGAAAUUGCAGUUGAUACUGUAUGUCUUGAGUGUACAAGAGGUGGGCGGAAUUCGUGGUGUAGCGGUGAAAUGCUUAGAUAUCACGAAGAACUCCAAUUGCGAAGGCAGCUCACUGGGGUACAACUGACACUGAGGCUCGAAAGUGUGGGUAUCAAACAGGAUUAGAUACCCUGGUAGUCCACACAGUAAACGAUGAAUACUCGCUGUUUGCGAUAUACAGUAAGCGGCCAAGCGAAAGCAUUAAGUAUUCCACCUGGGGAGUACGCCGGCAACGGUGAAACUCAAAGGAAUUGACGGGGGCCCGCACAAGCGGAGGAACAUGUGGUUUAAUUCGAUGAUACGCGAGGAACCUUACCCGGGCUUGAAUUGCAGAGGAAUAUAGUUGAAAGAUUAUAGCCGCAAGGCCUCUGUGAAGGUGCUGCAUGGUUGUCGUCAGCUCGUGCCGUGAGGUGUCGGCUUAAGUGCCAUAACGAGCGCAACCCUUAUCAUUAGUUACUAACAGGUCAUGCUGAGGACUCUAGUGAGACUGCCGUCGUAAGAUGUGAGGAAGGUGGA
RNAcentral lists this ribosomal RNA (1165 nucleotides) under uncultured Bacteroides sp. Its description in RNAcentral is "bacterial SSU rRNA". It matches the Rfam family "Bacterial small subunit ribosomal RNA", at positions 13 to 1177 of the family's 1533-position model. Lineage: Bacteria; Pseudomonadati; Bacteroidota; Bacteroidia; Bacteroidales; Bacteroidaceae. The record is from RNAcentral.